This 461-nucleotide RNase P RNA is filed under the name Acidobacteriota bacterium. Its description in RNAcentral is "Acidobacteria bacterium (rhizosphere metagenome) RNase P RNA component class A". It matches the Rfam family "Bacterial RNase P class A". From Rfam's summary of the family: Ribonuclease P (RNase P) is a ubiquitous endoribonuclease, found in archaea, bacteria and eukarya as well as chloroplasts and mitochondria. Lineage: Bacteria; Pseudomonadati; Acidobacteriota. The record is from RNAcentral.
AGAGCAGGUCGGGUGGUCGCCGCCGCAAGAGCCCGAAAGGGUGCGGGGGAGGAAAGUCCGAACACUACAGGGCAGCGAGCCAGCUAACGGCUGGGCGCGGGGCGGGCCGUUCUGGCCGGCCUUGCGACGACAAGUGCAACAGAGAAGAGACCAGCCAGCGGACUGCUUUUCGAAGCAGUAGCGGGUGAUGGGUGAAACGGUGCGGCCCCUUUGGGGCUUAAUGUAAGAGCGCACCGGCGCGCGUGGUAACACGUGCGGCCAGGCAAACUCCUCGCAGUGCAAGACCAAAUAGGGAGGCGUCAGACAGGGCUGCCCGCCCGAAACGCGUUUCAUGAAAAUGAACGUGUUACGACCUCCGGGUAGGUCGCUUGAUCCAACUGGCGACGGUUGGGCUAGAUGAAUGAUCGCCGCUCCGCAACACCUGCGGAGAACAGAAUUCGGCUUACAGACCUGCUCUCAAA